Molecule: long non-coding RNA, 1192 nt
Filed under: Homo sapiens (human)
Lineage: Eukaryota; Metazoa; Chordata; Mammalia; Primates; Hominidae
Description: non-protein coding lnc-CADM2-10:1
Source: RNAcentral
AAGGAAGAAACACAGAACAGAAUAUUUGGUUCAACAACAAAUAGAAGAAGCUACUGAAGCAGCUUAAAGUUACAUAAUACUCAGGAAAAAAAUGGACUUGUGCAAAGUAAAUUUGGAGGUGAUAAAGCAUUGGAUAGCAAAAUGAAUAAAAUCAAUUUCUAAAUUUCAAAAUGACAUUGUGAUUGAAUUUAUAUUCAACCAGUUGUAGGUGAAGACUCCAAAUUCCAAAAUAAUGCAAAUCAAUCUGACUGGAUUUUUUAAUUAAAAUGCUAGAAAAUUUAUUGGAGAACUAUAUCUAGUGCUGUUAUAUACACACAAAAAAAUGUCUGGGAUCCAUUUUACUUUCAAAGAAAUCAAAGAAAAAUAAAUAAAACAGGUGUAGAUUGACCAAGACAUUUUGCGUCUAUAAAAAAGGAAGAUGAAGACAAACAUAAGACAAAAAAGGAAAAGAAGGAAAGCAGCAAUUAAAAAAUAAAACAGUUCUAGAAGCCUAAGAAGAUACUAAUCCAGAUUGUCUUCCCCUAUCAGCCCAUCUUUCUGUGUCAGGAAACAGAGACAGGGCAUUUACUCUUGAUCUUCUUUUCACAGAACCAAGAGCUGGAGAGUCCUUUUGUUUCUAAAGAGGAGAAAUCCAGCAUACUCAAAACCUGCAUUGAAAGUAAAAACAAAAUUUGGUGCAAGAGGCUACCUCUAUUAGUGAUAGUCUAAAGGUUUCCAAACCUAAACCUGUGUCAGAGUGUAGAGAAUAUUCUCUUGGAAAAAAAUUGAAACAGAAAAUGACAAAAAAAAAAAAAAAAUCAUUCAGUCAUGUUCCAAAUUGGGAUUCCAGAUAUAUUGUAGCUGUUUUUUUUUUCUUCACACUCACCUGCACCAGGGCCAUUGAUCUUAAUGAAGAUCACAUCUGCCUAAGAGGUGACCUAGUUCAAGAAGGUGGCAAUUCCUCAAAAGAUAACUUUACCAAAGACAAAUGCUUUCUCUAUGGAGGCAUAAAAUAUGAAGAUCUCCAGUGAGAUGUCAAUAUCCUUAACUGGAAGCAGCUCAUUGUCCUCCUCAUCUCCUCCAGGUCAUCACCAAAUAAACCUUCCAAGAAAAAAUCUACUCCAGGAAAAGCUAGCAGAUUAUCUUCUUUAGCAAGUCCUCAAAGGUAAAUGCACUGGCUGUUACCUCCAGCAACUCCCUUAUCCAAAACUCC